UGGGGAAUAUUGCACAAUGGAGGGAACUCUGAUGCAGCGACGCCGCGUGAGUGAUGAAGGAAUUCGUUUCGUAAAACUCUGUUCUAUGGGAAGAAAAGGACUGUACCAUAGGAGAAAGCUCCGGCUAAAUACGUGCCAGCAGCCGCGGUAAUACGUAUGGAGCGAGCGUUGUCCGGAAUUAUUGGGCGUAAAGGGUGCGCAGGCGGCUUUACAAGUUGGAUGUGAAAUAUUGUGGCUCAACCACAAACGUGCAUCCAAAACUGCAAAGCUUGAGUUAAGGAGAGGUAAGUGGAAUUCCUGGUGUAGCGGUGGAAUGCGUAGAUAUCAGGAGGAAUACCGGUGGCGAAGGCGACUUACUGGACUUAAACUGACGCUCAGACACGAAAGCGUGGGGAGCAAACAGG
Molecule: ribosomal RNA, 404 nt
Filed under: Fusobacteriota bacterium
Lineage: Bacteria; Fusobacteriati; Fusobacteriota
Description: Fusobacteria bacterium partial 16S ribosomal RNA
Rfam family: Bacterial small subunit ribosomal RNA
Source: RNAcentral